GGACACGGACAGGAUUGACAGAUUGAGAGCUCUUUCUUGAUUCCGUGGGUGGUGGUGCAUGGCUGUUCUCAGUUGGUGGAGCAGCUGUGUGGUGUUUGGCUGCCUGCCGGGUUAAACCGUGACAAUCCCCCUCGAGUUUCUUGUUAAAUCGGGAAAGUGUGACUGUCCAGCAGGGCUUUUCUGUUGAAACCUUUACAGCUCCCAUAGCUUUAACUCCUCUGGCUGUUAAGUUUGUGAUGUUUGCAUCCUUGUGUUGUCCUCAGUU
This 265-nucleotide non-coding RNA is filed under the name Fulmarus glacialis (Northern fulmar). RNAcentral's name for it is "Eukaryotic small subunit ribosomal RNA". It matches the Rfam family "Eukaryotic small subunit ribosomal RNA", at positions 1226 to 1417 of the family's 1831-position model. The record is from Rfam by way of RNAcentral. Lineage: Eukaryota; Metazoa; Chordata; Aves; Procellariiformes; Procellariidae.